CGUGUGUGUGUGUGUGCGUGCGCGCUUGUUGGGUGUGUGUGCGUGCGCGCUUGUUGGGUGUGUGCGGGGAUGUGUGCGAGUGCGGAGUGUCACCGGGACGGUGACCUUUUAAAGUGGGGGUGUAUGUAACCGGUGGUUAUCCUGAACUUUUAUUCUGACGGGGUAACGACACUCCCCUUUCCUUCAGGUGUGUAGCAUAAAUCAUUGCGGUGGUAGCUAGCUAGCAAAGACGCCGUGUUUUUGAUGCUGUCGAGUGUAGCGUGGGCACACCGCUCUCUCUGUCCCUCUGUUUGUGGUUGAGCCACCGUACAGGAAAGCCCUGUCCAUCGGCGGCUGGCGUGGGGUCGGCUGCUGUUCUGGGAUGGUGUGCUGAGCUUGGCAAACUCAAGGUAAAAGAUGCGUUCUGUACGCUUCUCUCGUGUGUGCGAACGUAGUCUCUGUUGUGACUGAUGUAGUGUUACUCUAUCACAGUGUCGCUGGUGAUGUUCUUCCACUUUGUGUCCUGUGUGGUUGACUGCUUGCAUGCCGCUUCGAGAGAACCAGAGGAGGAGAUGGUGCCUUCGACUACACUGAUGCAGUGUCACUAGAGAAGGGGGGCAUCACUGUUCUUUUCCCAACCUUUUGUUUUGUUUUGUCCUAUUGUGUGAGUGAUUCAUCCUGUGCAACCGUUUCACUCUAACAUACGAGACGAAGGGGCUCGUGUAAGUUUCUACUUAGUAACCGCCAAGACGGAGCUUGUGUAGGCCUAUAUGAUUAGGGUAUGAACACUGAAGUAUUACUGGGAGACGUAUCUUAAAUCUCAGACUCCUUUUGGAACCUAUACUUGCUGUAGGGGGAGACCAAAGACGUGUGUCUAACAGGCUUGUGUGUGUGUGUGGUGGCCAUUACCAAUCUUGCCCUUUUGGCAGUUUGUUUUC
Molecule: long non-coding RNA, 917 nt
Organism: Engraulis encrasicolus (European anchovy)
Lineage: Eukaryota; Metazoa; Chordata; Actinopteri; Clupeiformes; Engraulidae
Exons: 3
Source: RefSeq, a predicted model, not a curated record